CUCUGUGACCUUUCCCAGCCUUGGUGGCCGC
This 31-nucleotide non-coding RNA is filed under the name Homo sapiens (human). The record is from RNAcentral. Lineage: Eukaryota; Metazoa; Chordata; Mammalia; Primates; Hominidae.